AGAGGUGGCAAGCGUUGUUCGGAAUUACUGGGCGUAAAGGGCGCGUAGGCGGUUCGUUAAGUCCUGUGUGAAGUCCCCCGGCUCAACUGGGGAACUGCACAGGAAACUAGCGGGCUUGAGUUCGGGAGAGGGAAGCGGAAUUCCGGGUGUAGCGGUGAAAUGCGUAGAUAUCCGGAGGAACACCGGUGGCGAAGGCGGCUUCCUGGACCGACACUGACGCUGAGGCGCGAAAGCUAGGGGAGCAAACGGGAUUAGAUACCCCGGUAGUCCUAGCUGUAAACGAUGAGUGCUGGGUGUAGGGGGUAUUAACCCCCCCUGUGCCGAAGCUAACGCAUUAAGCACUCCGCCUGGGGAGUACGGUCGCAA
This 366-nucleotide ribosomal RNA is filed under the name uncultured bacterium. Its description in RNAcentral is "bacterial SSU rRNA". It matches the Rfam family "Bacterial small subunit ribosomal RNA", at positions 527 to 891 of the family's 1533-position model. The record is from RNAcentral.